This 482-nucleotide ribosomal RNA is filed under the name uncultured bacterium. RNAcentral's name for it is "partial 16S ribosomal RNA". It matches the Rfam family "Bacterial small subunit ribosomal RNA", at positions 30 to 507 of the family's 1533-position model. The record is from RNAcentral.
AUUGAACGCUGGCGGCAUGCCUUACACAUGCAAGUCGAACGGUAACGGGCCUUCGGGUGCCGACGAGUGGCGCACGGGUGAGUAAUACAUCGGAACGUGCCCGAUCGUGGGGGAUAACGAGGCGAAAGCUUUGCUAAUACCGCAUACGAUCUACGGAUGAAAGCAGGGGACCGCAAGGCCUUGCGCGGACGGAGCGGCCGAUGGCAGAUUAGGUAGUUGGUGGGAUAAAAGCUUACCAAGCCGACGAUCUGUAGCUGGUCUGAGAGGAUGAUCAGCCACACUGGGACUGAGACACGGCCCAGACUCCUACGGGAGGCAGCAGUGGGGAAUUUUGGACAAUGGGCGCAAGCCUGAUCCAGCCAUGCCGCGUGCAGGAUGAAGGCCUUCGGGUUGUAAACUGCUUUUGUACGGAACGAAAAGCCUUCUUUUAAUACAGGAGGGUCAUGACGGUGCCGUAAGAAUAAGCACCGGCUAACUACGUG